This 1071-nucleotide ribosomal RNA is filed under the name Escherichia coli. RNAcentral's name for it is "bacterial LSU rRNA". It matches the Rfam family "Bacterial large subunit ribosomal RNA", at positions 504 to 1578 of the family's 2925-position model. The record is from RNAcentral. Lineage: Bacteria; Pseudomonadati; Pseudomonadota; Gammaproteobacteria; Enterobacterales; Enterobacteriaceae.
UGAGGGAAAGGCGAAAAGAACCCCGGCGAGGGGAGUGAAAAAGAACCUGAAACCGUGUACGUACAAGCAGUGGGAGCACGCUUAGGCGUGUGACUGCGUACCUUUUGUAUAAUGGGUCAGCGACUUAUAUUCUGUAGCAAGGUUAACCGAAUAGGGGAGCCGAAGGGAAACCGAGUCUUAACUGGGCGUUAAGUUGCAGGGUAUAGACCCGAAACCCGGUGAUCUAGCCAUGGGCAGGUUGAAGGUUGGGUAACACUAACUGGAGGACCGAACCGACUAAUGUUGAAAAAUUAGCGGAUGACUUGUGGCUGGGGGUGAAAGGCCAAUCAAACCGGGAGAUAGCUGGUUCUCCCCGAAAGCUAUUUAGGUAGCGCCUCGUGAAUUCAUCUCCGGGGGUAGAGCACUGUUUCGGCAAGGGGGUCAUCCCGACUUACCAACCCGAUGCAAACUGCGAAUACCGGAGAAUGUUAUCACGGGAGACACACGGCGGGUGCUAACGUCCGUCGUGAAGAGGGAAACAACCCAGACCGCCAGCUAAGGUCCCAAAGUCAUGGUUAAGUGGGAAACGAUGUGGGAAGGCCCAGACAGCCAGGAUGUUGGCUUAGAAGCAGCCAUCAUUUAAAGAAAGCGUAAUAGCUCACUGGUCGAGUCGGCCUGCGCGGAAGAUGUAACGGGGCUAAACCAUGCACCGAAGCUGCGGCAGCGACGCUGAUGCGUUGUUGGGUAGGGGAGCGUUCUGUAAGCCUGCGAAGGUGUGCUGUGAGGCAUGCUGGAGGUAUCAGAAGUGCGAAUGCUGACAUAAGUAACGAUAAAGCGGGUGAAAAGCCCGCUCGCCGGAAGACCAAGGGUUCCUGUCCAACGUUAAUCGGGGCAGGGUGAGUCGACCCCUAAGGCGAGGCCGAAAGGCGUAGUCGAUGGGAAACAGGUUAAUAUUCCUGUACUUGGUGUUACUGCGAAGGGGGGACGGAGAAGGCUAUGUUGGCCGGGCGACGGUUGUCCCGGUUUAAGCGUGUAGGCUGGUUUUCCAGGCAAAUCCGGAAAAUCAAGGCUGAGGCGUGAUGACGAGGCACU